CUCCGGGUGUGCGGGGGAAAAAGGCGCAGUCGCUUUCGAUAACUGGUUAGGUAACGACACGGUAAACUCCUCGUAUCAACCAAAAUGCUUUUUUAAAGUACUUUUCUUGUCCAUUACAUAUUUUGUUUACAUCAGAGGGCAACUGUACAUUGACAGCGAAUAAAUAACUAUUUUGCUACAUCGAGGCUAACGAACGCUAAACAAACAUGGCUACUAAAGCUAGCUGGCUAGCAAGAUAACAAAAAAGCUACAGUUCGCUGAAUUUUCGACAAAAAAAAGAGAGGCGGACCUGUUCCAUGUUGCACGUGAUUGGGUUUAUGCAGGAUCCUCAUUAGGGUCCGGAACAGUCAUUCUGAUUCCCAUGUAAAAUAGCACUUAGAGGUACAAACACAGCAGCCAUUAAAAAAAAAAAAAAAAAAAAACGGAUAGAAAUGCUCAAUUUAAGUACAUUUUUUUCCUCAUGGCUAACUACCUUCAUUUAUGGUUAGGCCUAAGGAUAGCAGUGUAGUUAAGGUAAGGUUUGAAUAGAAUUUGUAGAAAUAGGAAGGGUUUAUGACUUUGUGGCUUUUAUAACUAGCCAUGACCCUGAGUGGGCGGGGAGCUUGUGCUUGCCUUGACUGACAGCUCUUUGAAACGCCAAUGUCAAGAAACUUGGAUGCAGUUAAAUACAUUUUCAAGAAAAUCUGGCGAUGCAUAAAGCAACUCGAACCACAUUUUAAAUUGCAUUUUAUUAUACAUCUCCCAUUUGGUAUCUCGUGAUGUGACAACUCCCGCAGUAUAGCUAUUAACCACGCCCCUCUGCAAACAUGCCUUCUCUGAUUGGUUACAAGGCGGUAUUUAUUUAAAUUCAGGAAAGGAAUAUUACGUUACCGUAUUAAAAUGAGUGUUAGGGUGAAACACCCUAUCUUAAUAAACCCGCCUCCUGAAUCCAAGAGUUUGACAUGGGGAGGGGACCAGUAACUUUAUGAUUUUAACUUUUAUCAAUGUACAGGUUUCGCACAAAGUGCUUUGAGGUUCUUAAAGUACUUAGAUUUGGCACUCUGAAAUUCAAGUAAUAGAAUACCUUAAAUCAGGCAUUUUCUCAAGUUGAAUUAAAAUGAGAGAAUAGAAAAUUAUCAAAUAUGUUAAUCCAAAAAAUAUUAGAAAUGUAUUGGUUUUACGAAUACAUUUCCAGUUAGACGACAGUUUCAUUUUCUCAUGUGUUUUGCGCACUGGCUGCCAGGCAAGCUCGCUCAUUCUACCCACACUGCCACAUACACCGAACCCAAACCGGCUGUGCACAUGCGCAUCGUGCAUACAUUUAUGCUGUCCCCUCACCCUGACUCCACCGCAAGCGUCGCGUGAGCUGCAAAAUAAAUGUAGAAAUCAAUGUUAUUCAAUAGCCCUUAUGCUAUUAUAGUUUUUUAUUAGGUGUCUUCAGGAUUUGCCUCAAAUUAAUAUUAAUGAUGUACAUCGAAUUGUUACAUCAGCCUCCGAGACUCCAGCUAGCAAGAAUGAAAAGGGGUUCAAUAUGUAUAUAGGAAGCUACAUAGACAACUAUGAAGAUUGUCAUGGAGGUGAUGGGGAACCUACAGAAAACUCAACAGGACUGGACCAUGUUGCUGCAGAUGAGAAGAUAUUUACCUCAACCUAUGUUCUAAUGGGUUGAAAAGACUAAAUCCCACCCAUAUAAAAAAAGACAUGUCGAAUUCCAGCAUCUGUGCCUGACCUCACUAAUGCUCUUAUUUUUAUUUGACCAGGCAAUUCAGUUAACAACAAAUUCUUAUUUUCAAAAAGGUUUAACUGCCUUGUUCGGGGGCAGAAAUAUUUUUACCUAGUCAGCUCGGGAAUUCGAUCUUGCAACCUUUCGGUUACUAGUCCAACACUCUAACCACUAGGCUACCUGCCACCUCUUGUGGCUGAAUGGAUCAAGACCCCACAGCAAUGUUCCAACAUCUAGUGGAAAGCCUUCCCAGAAGAGUGGAGGCUGUUAUAGCAGCAAAGGGGGGGACCAACUCCAUAUUAAUGCCCAUGAUUUUGGAAUGAGAUGUUCGACGCGCACAUGUCCACAUACUUUUGAUCAUGUGUACAUACCUCAAGUACCUUGUACCUCUGCACAUUGAUCUGGUACAGAUACUCGCUGUAUAUAGCUCCAUUCUUGUAAAUAUUUUUUUCCUCGUUUAGUUACAAAAAUAAAAUAGUAACUCUG
Molecule: RNA transcript, 2188 nt
Organism: Oncorhynchus masou masou (cherry salmon)
Lineage: Eukaryota; Metazoa; Chordata; Actinopteri; Salmoniformes; Salmonidae
Gene name: KAT8 regulatory NSL complex subunit 2-like
Exons: 2
Source: RefSeq, a predicted model, not a curated record